CCGUCACCUCCACCGUCGUUUCCGUCGACGAAAACUCCAUCUCCGCCAAUGCUUCCACCUAUAUCAACGGUCCACCACCGCCAAAUCCUCCCAAUUCUAGAAAUAUUUCUCUAUUUCUUCCAAUUCUUUCAACCGGGCUAGUUUUAACAUUAAACAAAAGGAGAGACAGAUUAAAGACAAGCUUUUCUACCAAAUUUUCCUUCUCAUCAUUUCCGAUCCUAAAUCCGCCUGUAACCUUUUUACUCUCUACCUCGCCACCAAAUUUUCUGUCACCUUCGCCGGAUCUUUACUAGCUAUAAGGAAAGCAUCGCCACGGAUAAGUUAGAGCUUUUCCAUAGUUUCUGAGUGGAGAAAAUGCAGUAGUUUUCAUAUUAGAUUGCUUUAUCAAAAUCUUUGAGUGCUAAGGGUUGUGGUUGACCAUGGUUGGUUUUGCAGAAAACAAAAAUAAAGUAGUGUGCCAUUCAGGGGGUCUUAGCUACCGAAUUUUGUGCAAGUUAGAGAGGUAAAGUAUGCAUUGAGCUUUAAAAUUUUGAAAACCUAUUACCUUACCAAAAACAAAAAAAAAACAAAUAAUGACUUGUAUUGUAUGUGAAUUUGUCAUUUCUGUCAUUUUUAGUGUCUAGUGAG
RNAcentral lists this long non-coding RNA (627 nucleotides) under Nicotiana tabacum (common tobacco). RNAcentral's name for it is "long non-coding RNA (NTAB_LNC015896)". Lineage: Eukaryota; Viridiplantae; Streptophyta; Magnoliopsida; Solanales; Solanaceae. The record is from RNAcentral.